Molecule: long non-coding RNA, 2927 nt
Organism: Amphiprion ocellaris (clown anemonefish)
Lineage: Eukaryota; Metazoa; Chordata; Actinopteri; Pomacentridae
Exons: 8
Source: RefSeq, a predicted model, not a curated record
AAAAUGAAAAAAAAAAUGAUUUAAUUGUUUUCUUGACUGGUGCUCCUAUACAUAGCAACACCAGUAAAGAAACACAAAAAAAAAAACCUGUAGUGAACAUUGGAAAAACAUCAUAAACUAGCUUUCAUUAGGAAGUAGCUGUCUACACUUUGAAUCCCGUUUUCCCCUUAUAGCAGCUCAAGUCCGUGUUUGCACUGUGUGUUUGCUGAAAGUGAGGCGAUCCUGGAGUCGCUUUGGGUGGAGAAUAAUAUACAAACCAACUAAUCUCUUAAUAUGUUGGUUUGUGCCUAAUACUGAAUAUUGUUUUAUGUGUGUUAAAUAUAGGUGAUAUUCACUUCUGAAAAGUCUGGUACGAAGCCGAUACUUCAUUUAUAGUGUAGGGUUACAACCUAUAUUCACAAGAGAUUUACAUUAAAAGGGACCAGUGAUUGAAAGAGCAAAACCCAUAUCUCGUGUCAAAAAGGAACUCAUCUUAACCUAAAUAUGUAUUUUCUUGGACUGUUGCUUGCUUUUAUAGCAAUUUUUGAGCCACUACAACAUAUCUUCAUUGUGCAUGAACUAAAGGGGGACACAUUGAGAAUCAAGAAUCUUUAUUGUCAUUGUGUUUCCCCACAGCGAAAUUACAAUUGGUGACUCCCAGCUAUAUAUAUAAAAAAAUAGAAAAAGGCACACUAUGUACAAAUAAAAAAAAAAAAAAAAAAAAAAAAAUACUUAAAAGAUAUAAAUAUGUAAACAGUCUUACUGCACAUGAGCAGUAGGAUGGGUGAUGAAGUGCAGUCCAGUGCAAGACUCAGUUCUUUAUUCCACAUAGUGUAUCUGUUGUAUGUGUAGGGGGGAAAUGGAUUGGACAGCUCUUGGAUAAAAACAAACAGUAUGGAUACCACAGAAUUAUAAAACUGUUCUAAAAAGCUGUGAUGAAUCUGUUUAUAAUUGUGCAUCUUGUCCAUUGAAUCCUAAAUAUCAUUCCAAGGUAACACUGGUUGUCCAACUCUUUUUUUAAGUCACCAUUUGCUGUUGCUCAUCUGUUAGACAAAAGCACAACCAGUGCAAUGAAACAGUGAAACCUAAUAAAACCUGUUUAGGCUAAUUUUGUUUAAUUUUUCCUGUUUUUCCUCUCAUCUCCGCAGCCCUGCAGUGUCCAGGCAGUACCAGAAGGAGACGCUCUGCUGAACUGUUGAAGCGUAAAGCUCAGCUGGAGAGCCACUACAAGGAGAAGCUGCAGCAUCGCUGCUGUAAAGACGGCCUCAGGGAGAUCCCGAUGCCGUAUUCCUGCACGCGACGUUCCCUCUACAUCACUGAGGGCUGGGAAUGCAUCCGAGCUUUCCGAUACUGCUGCGCCACUUACAGGGACCAGGUGUUUGACACAGAGAUUCCCACCACCCACCAACCACAACUGCAGCUCCCACCACCUCCUCUCAACCCCGGACUGUCGGUCAUACUUCCAGACGAGAGAAAAUAACGGUCUCCCGAUAUAACUCUGGUUGGCGUCUAAGAACGUGGACACCAUCUUACCUGACAGCAUCACAGAGUGGGGAGUUCUGGCAGUCAGUUCAUCACCUCAGACGGGUUCCUGUGUUGCAGAGCCUUACAAUGUCAGAGCGUGGAAAGGUUUCUUUGUGGACCUGAAACUGCCGCAUUCAGUGGCGAGGAACCAACAGGUGGAGAUCAAGGCUGUGGUCCAUAACUACGGCUAUGAUGACCUGCAUGUUGUGACCUAUUACAAUCAGCUGCAUGAGGUGGAAGAGAAAAUGCCCUGCAAGCACGUUGAUCUCAACGUCACUUUUGAAGGAUCCAGCGGUAGAUCAAAUUCUCACACUAUAUCACAUAUUUUACACGGCGUCCUUCAGACGGGGAGAUUCAAGGUAUGCAUGAGCUCACGUGUUACAUAGAAGAUAGAGGGCCACUGUGCAAAUGAGCAUGCAACAGACAUCCCAAAUCUGCCUAAAAUGCUGGUAUUUACAGAGCAGGGCUCUAGGACCCAGAGAUGUCAGGAUGAUGGUUCUUGAUAUCGGUCUACCAACUUGAUUCACCCCAGAAAACUCUGACCUGGAGAUGCUGUCCAAUUCAGUGGAUCGUUACAUCAGUAACUUCCAGAUUGUAGACAACCUGAGUGACAGAGGCUCCCUGAUCAUUCACCUGUUCAAGGUAACAUCACUGUAUUUAUAAUUAUUAUUCUAUAUCAUAUCAUUUUAUGUUAUUCAUAUGCUUUUCUUUUUUUCAAGAAGCAGGUUUCUCAAUGCUCAGUAAAUAAGUCUUUAUGAUCACAGUCAACAAUUUGAGGCAGUUUUAGGCUAUCACACAAAACCAGCUUAUUGGUACCAAAGCCACGGUUCAGAACUCAGACUUGCUAAAUCAGUGUUAGUGUAGUGCAGUGUAGGGCUGCAGCCAGAGUACUGACGAUAGUUAGCAAGAGAGAUCAUAUUUCUCCGAUGCUGGUUUCUCUUCAUUGGCUUCCUGUGAAAUGUAGAAUAGAAUUCAAAAUCCUUCUUCUGACAUAUGAAGCUCUUAACAACCAAUCUCCAUUAUAUCUUAAAGACCUGAUGGUACCAUAUUAUCCUAGAAGAACUCUUCGCUCUCAGACUGCAGGCUUACUUGGAGAAGUGACCUGUAACUUCUCUCUAAAAGUACAAUGUGAGGCAGAGCCUUCAGUUAUCAGCUCCUCUCCUGUGGAACCAGCUCCCAGUUUGGGUUCUGGAGGCGGACACCCUCUCUAAUUUUAAGACCAUGCUUAAAACCUUCCUUUUUGACAAAUCUUAUAGUUAGGACUGACUGGGGGACCCUGAGGGGGUCAGCUGGCAUCUUCCUCUUGGACGUCCCUUAGUUCUGCCCCUAGUUCUGCUGCUAUAGGCCUAGGCAGCUGGAGGACCUCUCUGGAUGCACUGAGCCCUUCUCUAUCUACCAUUAUAUUUAAUAUAUAUAUAUAUAUA